CUGGCAGCUCAGGAGAGUGUCCACAGAACGGGCAGCAUCAGUGCCAGCUUCCUCACAGUGCCCCGCCAAUGUGCCUCAAAGAUGACUGGGGUGGGACUCUCCAUGGCCCAUACAACCCUAGGCCAUU
Molecule: small RNA, 127 nt
Filed under: Chrysemys picta bellii (western painted turtle)
Lineage: Eukaryota; Metazoa; Chordata; Testudines; Emydidae
Description: TUC338 (ENSCPBG00000026945.1)
Source: RNAcentral